Molecule: long non-coding RNA, 296 nt
Filed under: Citrus sinensis (sweet orange)
Lineage: Eukaryota; Viridiplantae; Streptophyta; Magnoliopsida; Sapindales; Rutaceae
Description: long non-coding RNA (CSIN_LNC005385)
Source: RNAcentral
GCUCUGUUCAGAAUAGAGUUUAAAACAAUUGACAAUUGUUGGGAAUUUCUGGUUCCCACCCAAGAUCUCUGCUAGCAAUACGUCAAAUAAAUAACAAACAAAAAAAAUACAAUAGAGAAUACUCCGAGCACACAACACAAGAGUUACCUGAAACUUGGAGCGUUCAGUGAGUCUUCAAUUUACAUGAAAGAAACUUAGUUCUAUAUUGUUUGGUAGGCUAGAAAAUGAAAGAAAAUAAAAGAAAAGCUUUGCAAAGAAAACCGUUAGAUCUUUUUAUUAUUCCAAGCUUACAGUUU